AGUGAACGCUGGCGGUAGGCCUAACACAUGCAAGUCGAACGGCAGCACAGUAAGAGCUUGCUCUUACGGGUGGCGAGUGGCGGACGGGUGAGGAAUACAUCUGAAUCUACUUUUUCGUGGGGGAUAACGUAGGGAAACUUACGCUACUACCGCAUACGACCUACGGGUGAAAGCAGGGGAUCUUCGGACCUUGCGCGAUUGAAUGAGCCGAUGUCGGAUUAGCUAGUUGGCGGGGUAAAGGCCCACCAAGGCGACGAUCCGUAGCUGGUCUGAGAGGAUGAUCAGCCACACUGGAACUGAGACACGGUCCAGACUCCUACGGGAGGCAGCAGUGGGGAAUAUUGGACAAUGGGCGCAAGCCUGAUCCAGCCAUACCGCGUGGGUGAAGAAGGCCUUCGGGUUGUAAAGCCCUUUUGUUGGGAAAGAAAAGCAGCAGGUUAAUACCCCGCUGUUCUGACGGUACCCAAAGAAUAAGCACCGGCUAACUACGUG
Molecule: ribosomal RNA, 492 nt
Filed under: uncultured bacterium
Lineage: Bacteria
Description: partial 16S ribosomal RNA
Rfam family: Bacterial small subunit ribosomal RNA
Source: RNAcentral